This is a small nuclear RNA of 164 nucleotides. Its record names the gene U1. It matches the Rfam family "U1 spliceosomal RNA". Rfam says of the family: U1 is a small nuclear RNA (snRNA) component of the spliceosome (involved in pre-mRNA splicing). Its 5' end forms complementary base pairs with the 5' splice junction, thus defining the 5' donor site of an intron. The record is from Ensembl.
GUAUCUCCCUGGCAGGGGAGAUACCGUGAUCAAGAAGGCGGUUCACCCAGGGCGAGGCUCAGCCAUUGCACUUCGGCUGUGCUGACCCCUGCGAAUUCCCCAAAUGUGGGAAUCUCGACUGCAUAAUUUCUGGUAGUGGGGGACUGCGUUCGCGCUCUCCCCUG